Molecule: transfer RNA, 72 nt
Filed under: Candidatus Uhrbacteria bacterium
Lineage: Bacteria; Candidatus Uhriibacteriota
Description: tRNA-Lys
Rfam family: tRNA
About the family: Transfer RNA (tRNA) molecules are approximately 80 nucleotides in length. Their secondary structure includes four short double-helical elements and three loops (D, anti-codon, and T loops). Further hydrogen bonds mediate the characteristic L-shaped molecular structure. tRNAs have two regions of fundamental functional importance: the anti-codon, which is responsible for specific mRNA codon recognition, and the 3' end, to which the tRNAs corresponding amino acid is attached (by aminoacyl-tRNA synthetases). tRNAs cope with the degeneracy of the genetic code in two manners: having more than one tRNA (with a specific anti-codon) for a particular amino acid; and 'wobble' base-pairing, i.e. permitting non-standard base-pairing at the 3rd anti-codon position.
Source: RNAcentral
GCGCCCAUAGCUCAAUGGUAGAGCAACAGCCUUUUAAGCUGAUGGUUCUGGGUUCGAGCCCCGGUGGGCGCA